Molecule: ribosomal RNA, 101 nt
Filed under: uncultured bacterium
Lineage: Bacteria
Description: partial 16S ribosomal RNA
Rfam family: Bacterial small subunit ribosomal RNA
Source: RNAcentral
UACACACCGCCCGUCACACCAUGGAAGUUUGCUACACCGGAAAACGCCGAGCUAACCCGCAAGGGAGGCAAGCGUUUAUGGCUUGGCCGAUGACUGGGGUG